CUUCACAGUCCAGCGACAGUCAAAGACGUGUCCCUACAGAAAAGAUUCUUCACGCUAGAAAUAAGAUGGAGCUGGGACUGAGGCUUUUGGAGAAGAUUAGAAAAAACAUACAGACAACGAUGAAAUCUCCGCGAAUAUAGGCCUAUUGCUGAGGUCGCUCAUGAUAGUGAUUCACAACCCAGGCAAGAGAAAAAUCAGAACCCAAGUGAAAAUGCAGACUGACAACCACAGCGUAAGAAGAAGGCAAGUUCUUGUGGAAAACAUUUCUAGACUGGGUUUUUGCUAAGGUAGAGUGCGAAUGUCAAAUAAUUGGUUAGAAAUAUAAUCAGAAAUCAAAGAAA
Long non-coding RNA from Corticium candelabrum, 341 nucleotides. RefSeq lists it as uncharacterized. NCBI's taxonomy places the organism in Eukaryota, Metazoa, Porifera, Homoscleromorpha, Homosclerophorida, Plakinidae. The record is from RefSeq and is a predicted model, not a curated record. The transcript has 3 exons.